This 504-nucleotide ribosomal RNA is filed under the name uncultured bacterium. RNAcentral describes it as "partial 16S ribosomal RNA". It matches the Rfam family "Bacterial small subunit ribosomal RNA", at positions 29 to 523 of the family's 1533-position model. The record is from RNAcentral.
AUUGAACGCUGGCGGCAGGCCUAACACAUGCAAGUCGGACGGUAGCACAGAGAGCUUGCUCUCGGGUGACGAGUGGCGGACGGGUGAGUAAUGUCUGGGGAUCUGCCCGAUAGAGGGGGAUAACCACUGGAAACGGUGGCUAAUACCGCAUAACGUCGCAAGACCAAAGAGGGGGACCUUCGGGCCUCUCACUAUCGGAUGAACCCAGAUGGGAUUAGCUAGUAGGCGGGGUAACGGCCCACCUAGGCGACGAUCCCUAGCUGGUCUGAGAGGAUGACCAGCCACACUGGAACUGAGACACGGUCCAGACUCCUACGGGAGGCAGCAGUGGGGAAUAUUGCACAAUGGGCGCAAGCCUGAUGCAGCCAUGCCGCGUGUAUGAAGAAGGCCUUCGGGUUGUAAAGUACUUUCAGCGGGGAGGAAGGCGAUGUGGUUAAUAACCGCAUUGAUUGACGUUACCCGCAGAAGAAGCACCGGCUAACUCCGUGCCAGCAGCCGCGGUAA